AACGUUGAAGACGACGACGUUGAUAGGCCGGGUGUGUAAGCGCAGCGAUGCGUUGAGCUAACCGGUACUAAUGAACCGUGAGGCUUAACCUU
Non-coding RNA from Cronobacter sp., 92 nucleotides. The record is from Rfam. Lineage: Bacteria; Pseudomonadati; Pseudomonadota; Gammaproteobacteria; Enterobacterales; Enterobacteriaceae.